This 481-nucleotide ribosomal RNA is filed under the name uncultured bacterium. RNAcentral describes it as "bacterial SSU rRNA". It matches the Rfam family "Bacterial small subunit ribosomal RNA", at positions 28 to 507 of the family's 1533-position model. The record is from RNAcentral.
GAUGAACGCUAGCGGCAGGCCUAAUACAUGCAAGUCGAGGGGCAGCGCGGUAGCAAUACUGGCGGCGACCGGCGCACGGGUGCGUAACACGUAUGCAACCUACCUUCAACUGGAGGAUAGCCCGGGGAAACUCGGAUUAAUACUCCAUAACACAGGGAUCCCGCAUGGGAAUAUUGUUAAAGCUACGGCGGUUGAAGAUGGGCAUGCGUUCGAUUAGCUAGUUGGUGUAGGUAACGGCUCACCAAGGCUACGAUCGAUAGGGGGUCUGAGAGGAUGAUCCCCCACACUGGUACUGAGAUACGGACCAGACUCCUACGGGAGCAGCAGUAGGGAAUAUUGGUCAAUGGGCGCAAGCCUGAACCAGCCAUGCCGCGUGCAGGAAGAAGGCCCUCUGGGUUGUAAACUGCUUUUGAUAGGGAACAAAUGCCACUUGCGAGUGGAGCUGAGUGUACCUAUAGAAUAAGCACCGGCUAACUCCGUG